UUAGGAAUAUUCGUCAAUGGGGGAAACCCUGAACGAGCAAUGCCGCGUGAGUGAUGAAGGCCCUAUGGGUUGUAAAACUCUGUUGUAUGGGAAGAACGGUCAUAUAAGGAAAUGUAUAUGGAGUGACGGUACCAUACCAGAAAGCUCCGGCUAACUACGUGCCAGCAGCCGCGGUAAUACGUAGGGAGCGAGCGUUAUCCGGAUUUAUUGGGCGUAAAGCGUGCGUAGGCGGCAUGUUAAGUUUAAGAUAAAAGCCCGGGGCUCAACUCCGGUUCGUCUUAAAAACUGGCAAGCUUGAGUGUGGUAGAGGUAAAUGGAAUUUCUAGUGUAGCGGUGAAAUGCGUAGAUAUUAGAAGGAACACCAGUGGCGAAGGCGAUUUACUGGGCCAUAACUGACGCUGAGGCACGAAAGCGUGGGGAGCAAAUAGG
This 429-nucleotide ribosomal RNA is filed under the name uncultured bacterium. RNAcentral describes it as "bacterial SSU rRNA". It matches the Rfam family "Bacterial small subunit ribosomal RNA", at positions 355 to 776 of the family's 1533-position model. The record is from RNAcentral.